This 244-nucleotide long non-coding RNA is filed under the name Aquilegia coerulea. RNAcentral describes it as "long non-coding RNA (ACOE_LNC000784)". The record is from RNAcentral. Lineage: Eukaryota; Viridiplantae; Streptophyta; Magnoliopsida; Ranunculales; Ranunculaceae.
UUGUUAAAUACCUUAAUUUGCCCCUAAAGAAACCUUAUAUGACCAGCAUAUUAACCUUUAAAACAUAAGUACAACACAUAGACACGUGUUUUAAUCACAAGUAUAAUAUGAAAAAAAUCUAACAGCUGUAACAAAAGAGAAUGGAGAGAGGUAGGUAACUAAAUAAUUCAUCUCUCACCAAUUCGAUCCAACCCAUAAUUCAAUCUUUCAACAAUUCCUCGCCAUUAAAGACCUUGCAAUAUCA